Molecule: transfer RNA, 92 nt
Filed under: Nitrosomonas sp.
Lineage: Bacteria; Pseudomonadati; Pseudomonadota; Betaproteobacteria; Nitrosomonadales; Nitrosomonadaceae
Description: tRNA-Ser
Rfam family: tRNA
About the family: Transfer RNA (tRNA) molecules are approximately 80 nucleotides in length.
Source: RNAcentral
GGAGAAGUGACCGAGCGGCUUAAGGUGCACGCCUGGAAAGCGUGUGUACGCUUUAAAACGUACCGCGGGUUCGAAUCCCGCCUUCUCCGCCA